Molecule: unclassified non-coding RNA, 375 nt
Filed under: uncultured Actinomycetes bacterium
Lineage: Bacteria; Bacillati; Actinomycetota; Actinomycetes
Description: uncultured actinobacterium contains 16S-23S intergenic spacer region
Source: RNAcentral
UCCGGUUUGGCACCGGCAGUCUCCAAUGAGUCCCCGGCAUUACCCGCUGGCAACAUUGGACAGGGGUUGCGCUCGUUGCGCCACUUAAGGCAACACCUCACGGCACGAGCUGACGACAGCCAUGCGCCACCUGUGCGGGCUCCGUAGAGCACCGUGUUUCCACGGCUUCACCCCGCAUGUCAAGCCCAGGUAAGGUUCUUCGCGUUGCGUCGAAUUAAGCCACAUGCUCCGCCGCUUGUGCGGGCCCCCGUCAAUUCCUUUGAGUUUUAGCCUUGCGGCCGUACUCCCCAGGCGGGGUGCUUAAUGCGUUAGCUUCGGCACGGGGGGAGUCGACACCCCCCACACCUAGCACCCAUCGUUUACGGCGUGGACUAC